CUGAUGGAUACAGACGAGGGGAGAGAGAGGGAAGUUCAUGAAACAGACUCACCACCAGGUUCUUCUUAAAACAUAAAUAAGCAGUUGAGUCACAAAAACCUCUCGUCUUACCUGCCCAGAGGGCCGUGAGGGCCGUAAAGGCUGCAGCUGUGACUGAAAAAGUUGUGAUACCAAAGUCAUCGUUAUGUGUAAUUAUAAAACUAAAACACUCCCUAUCUAAGAAAUGUAUUAAGAAAUGUCUAAGGAUUGUCAAAGGUGUAGUUAAAUACUUACGAAGACCCAUUUUCUUAGGAUUUAUCUCUUGCUCUUUCUGAGCAGUAGUAGUAGCAAGGGUGUUGAGGGUGGAGGGAGGGAGCAAUGUGAGCAGCAGUAGCAGCUCUGAGCCUUAUAUACAGCAGGGGAGCAGCAGAGAGUUAUUUCUUGAGAAACUAAACUUUGUCUCCAAGCACUAGUUUUCAUUACAUACACAUAAACUCAACUAAUUAACUCUCUUGAGCUCACGGCCAGCCUUUCUUUCAAACAGGUUUGUCCUAGCUCUUUAUGUUCUGUUUCCUUGUUGACUUUAUCUAAUUGAUUUGCUUUGUUUAUCAAUGCUUACCUUCCUACAUUAGUACAGUAUGUGCUACUACGUGCUACCUUUCAAUUAUUGCAUGGCUCUCUACCCUAGAGAGCCUACCCUAAAGUACCUAAAGGGGACACUUGAGUAAAAGUACAAGUAUCUGACACCAUUUUCUGAUAUAACAUCAUCAUUUAAAGUCAUCAUGUUUUAGGACCCAGGGAUUUGAUCAUAUAUCUGCUUUGGAUACGAAGUACAAUGUACAAGAACAUACCAUAAAAAAUAACAAAGGCAAAAAAAGAGGGCUCAGGGUUGAAUUCUUAAAAUAGUGCUUUAGUUUUCACAGCAUUUAGUGUCCAGGAAGGAUUGGAAGUUGGGAAAAUGUUUAGAUUAAGUUUCUGAUUCAUGAAUUUGCUGGCAUAUUGUCAUAGUGUCAAAGGUACGGAGAUGGUUUCUGAACUACACGAGUUUCGCUUUCCUUCUUGUGCUCACCAGCUCCAUCAGAUGCAGAGUUACUCUCUGGCGCCAUCUUGUGCUGACAUUGGGACCUAGUUUCGUUUCUGAAGAAACAAACACAGCUGUUGUGGACCGCAGAUAAAAAGGCAGCCUCCUCCUGCUGAGAAGAAAACACGUCCCAACAUGGAGAAUGUCAUUUACAUUGCAGCAGGAGCAGGAGCUGCGGCAGGUGCUGUGGCCCUGGCUCCUGUCAUUGCAGUAGCUGCAGGUUUCACUGCAGGUGCAGCUGGUGUGUCCGCAGCCACCAGUGCAGCGGUGACCGGUGCUGGAGCAGCAGUUGGAUUAUUAACAAAACUUUUUACCUGAAGAUGUUUAAGGACUCCUAUAUUUACUGGUGUUUAACAACGAUUCAAUAAAAUGCACCUCAAAG
This is a long non-coding RNA of Solea solea (common sole), 1442 nucleotides long. RefSeq lists it as uncharacterized. The record is from RefSeq and is a predicted model, not a curated record. The transcript has 4 exons. Lineage: Eukaryota; Metazoa; Chordata; Actinopteri; Pleuronectiformes; Soleidae.